AUCAACUAUCUUGACUAAUUGUAUUUCUACUUGCAUAUGUAUUUUGAUUGCUGAUUAUUGACUAUGCAAGUAUCCACAGUAUGCAUUCCUUUUCUUAUUGUUGAUAGUCUUCUAUUUGGUUUUUGGAUCUUUCAGUAAUAGCUUCAUAGUAUUAUCAGCAAAAGAGAAUGGAAAUUGAGGUCUUACAUGAGUUUUGUUUAAUUUUUGUAUUUUUCAGCCUAUCUUGAAAAGCAAAAGGAGCUGCUUUACCAGAAGGACAUUUGUCUUGCAAAGUAAUACUUUCCAAUCCUAAAGUUUGUAAUAUUCAGUCAAGCAGUUUCCCACCAGAAAUCAUAACUUAUGACCAGUGGGUACAAAUGAAACCAGAACCAAAAAGUAUGUUUUCUAGUUGGAUGAAGGGCAUUCCGUGGUGGAAAGAAAGAGAUGCAAGAACCUAUUCAUCAGAAGCUUGAUUUCAUUCUUAAUACAGCACCAAUGUGGGACAGGUUUGUUCCCUCUACACCUUUUGCUGGUAAAUAUUGCAUUGGAAUUGGAUGAGAUUUUAUCUCUUAGGCCUUGGUGAAGCGAGCUGAACUUUGGUCUGAGACAAUGCAGAAUUAUGAAAUGCAUUGCAUAGUAUACACUAUCCACAAGCAAAUACAUUAUAAAUAAAUAGAUGGCAUUAAAGUGAAACAGAUGGGCAACUAAAUACGGUGAGGUUAUCUAAGUAUCAGCUAGCAUCACUAUGAACAACAAUAAUGUUAAAAGACUGCUCCAAUGGAGGGGAAGUCACUUGAGAUGUUGGGAUGAGGCAGCGCUGCAACUAAUCUUUAUUCUAGCUUUAAGCCAUUCCUUUCCGUCCAAUUUGGAAUUAUAGGGAAAUUGAUUGUUAUAUAUCUACGGAUCUAUCUGGUUCAUUAAUGUAUGGGAGUUUUUUUUCCAUGUUACUGUUGCACUCUCAUACUUUGUUUUUUACUUGAUAUGUUUCUGUUUUGUAAUGAGACAAUGUUAAAGUUGAUUAUGGUUUUUGAUAUAUGUGUCUACCUUUGCAAAUGUAAUAUCAUGUUGAUAUUGUGAGAGUGCAAAUCUAGGUGAAUCUGACCGUUCUUUUUUCAAUAUACUUCUGUUCUCUCUGAUUCACUUUUUCUUCUAAUGUUUAUAAACCAACAAGUCACUCUCUUAGGACGCCAAUUUGGUUAUGCUUCCCAAAUUCGUAAAUAAGUACCUUGCAACCUUUGGCUGGAAACUUUUCUUCUCUUUGUCUACUUUAAUCUGAUAAUUAGGAGUGCGUAUUGAAUAUGUAUUAUAUACUGGAGUGAAUUUGCUACUUGAGUGGAGAAGCUAUCCCAUGUGGUCUGCCAGGAGGUACUUGGAACUCUACUUUCUCUGAAACUCUCUGGCCUCGAGGUCAAUGAUUUAACCAAACAGCUUACCAGUAUCAGGGAGAAGUGGAAAACCUAUCUUUAAAAAGCACAUUUCUGGCCAAGUUUGACGUGGUGGUUUAAUUUGUUCUAAAAACAAUGAUCCAGGUUUGAAGGCUGCUUAUAAACUGGACAAUCAUGUGGAAGAUGGAGUAGUGACGAAAGCUUUUGAAGUGAUAGAGAGAAAUUUGUUUAGCUAGAAGUUGUACUGAGGCUAGAAGUUGGUCUUUUCUGGGUUGGCCUUAGUUGCAGUUCUCCUAUAGAUGUGAUUAUGUGACAGUUUUAGGUACAUUUCUAGAUGAAUUUUGCUAUGAGAGUUUCAAAGAUGUGAUCCCUUAUAA
This is a long non-coding RNA of Rosa chinensis, 1741 nucleotides long. RefSeq lists it as uncharacterized. The record is from RefSeq and is a predicted model, not a curated record. NCBI's taxonomy places the organism in Eukaryota, Viridiplantae, Streptophyta, Magnoliopsida, Rosales, Rosaceae. The transcript is spliced from 3 exons.